This 1354-nucleotide ribosomal RNA is filed under the name metagenome. Its description in RNAcentral is "bacterial LSU rRNA". It matches the Rfam family "Bacterial large subunit ribosomal RNA", at positions 1564 to 2925 of the family's 2925-position model. The record is from RNAcentral.
CGAGUCCGAGUCUCCACGGAGACGAAGUGGCGGUCAUCCAGCUUCCUAGAAAAGCUCUAACCACGUUAAUCUUUAGUUGCCUGUACCCGAAACCGACACAGGUAGGGGGGUAGAGAAUACCAAGGGGCGCGAGAUAACUCUCUCUAAGGAACUCGGCAAAAUGACCCCGUAACUUCGGGAGAAGGGGUACCACUGAGAAGUGGUCGCAGUGAAGAGGCCCAGGCGACUGUUUACCAAAAACACAGGUCUCCGCCAAGUCGCAAGACGAAGUAUGGGGGCUGACGCCUGCCCAGUGCCGGAAGGUUAAGGAAGUGGGUUAGGGAUUCGUCCCGAAGCUGACGGCUGAAGCCCCGGUGAACGGCGGCCGUAACUAUAACGGUCCUAAGGUAGCGAAAUUCCUUGUCGGGUAAGUUCCGACCCGCACGAAAGGCGUAACGAUCUGGGCGCUGUCUCGGAGAGAGGCUCGGCGAAAUAGGAAUGUCUGUGAAGAUACGGACUACCUGCACCUGGACAGAAAGACCCUAUGAAGCUUUACUGUAGCUUGGAAUUGGGUUCGGGCUUGGUUUGCGCAGGAUAGGUGGGAGGCGAAGAAGAUUUGCUUGUGGGUGAAUCUGAGCCAACGGUGAGAUACCACUCUAACCAGGCUAGAAUUCUAACUUCAACCCGUCAACCGGGGGAAGGACAGUUUCAGGUGGGCAGUUUGACUGGGGCGGUCGCCUCCUAAAAGAUAACGGAGGCGCACAAAGGUUCCCUCAGGCUGGUUGGAAAUCAGCCAACGAGUGCAAAGGCAGAAGGGAGCUUGACUGCGAGACCUACAAGUCAAGCAGGGUGGAAACACGGUCUUAGUGAUCCGACGGCACCGAGUGGAAGGGCCGUCGCUCAACGGAUAAAAGUUACUCUAAGGAUAACAGGCUGAUCUCCCCCAAGAGUUCACAUCGACGGGGAGGUUUGGCACCUCGAUGUCGGCUCAUCGCAACCUGGGGCGGAAGUACGUCCCAAGGGUUGGGCUGUUCCCCAUUAAAGCGGUACGUGAGCUGGGUUCAGAACGUCGUGAGACAGUUCGGUCCAUAUCCGGUGUAGGCGCAAGAACAUUGAGAGGAGUCUUCCUUAGUACGAGAGGACCGGGAAGAACGCACCGCUGGUGUACCUGUUAUCGUGCCAACGGUAAACGCAGGGUAGCCAAGUGCGGAGUGGAUAACCGCUGAAAGCAUCUAAGUGGGAAGCCCACCUCAAGAUGAGUGUUCUCAUGGAGUAAUCCAGUAAGGUCACGGGAAGACGACCCGUUGAUAGGCGGUAGGUGGAAGUUCAGCAAUGGAUGAAGCCGAGCCGUACUAACAGACCGAGGGCUUGACCG